AACGAACGCUGGCGGCAUGCCUAACACAUGCAAGUCGAACGAGACCUUCGGGUCUAGUGGCGCACGGGUGCGUAACGCGUGGGAACCUGCCCUUAGGUUCGGAAUAACUCCCCGAAAGGGGUGCUAAUACCGGAUAAUGUCUUCGGACCAAAGAUUUAUCGCCUUUGGAUGGGCCCGCGGUGCAUUAGCUAGUGGGUAGGGUAAAAGCCUACCAAGGCGACGAGCCAUAGCUGGUCUGAGAGGAUGAUCAGCAACACUGGGACUGGGACACGGCCCAGACUCCUGCGGGAGGCCGCAGUGGGGAAUAUUGGACACUGGGCGAAAGCCUGAGCCAGCCAGGCCGCGUGAGUGAUGAAGGCCUUAGGGUUGUAAGGCUCUUUUACCCGGGAUGAUAAUGCCAGUACCGGGAGAAUAAGCCCCGGCUAACUCCGU
This 432-nucleotide ribosomal RNA is filed under the name uncultured bacterium. RNAcentral's name for it is "partial 16S ribosomal RNA". It matches the Rfam family "Bacterial small subunit ribosomal RNA", at positions 29 to 506 of the family's 1533-position model. The record is from RNAcentral.